RNAcentral lists this ribosomal RNA (415 nucleotides) under uncultured crenarchaeote. RNAcentral's name for it is "partial 16S ribosomal RNA". It matches the Rfam family "Archaeal small subunit ribosomal RNA", at positions 330 to 747 of the family's 1478-position model. The record is from RNAcentral. Lineage: Archaea; Thermoproteati; Thermoproteota.
GUGCAGCAGGCGCGAAACUUUUGCAAUGCGCGUAAGCGUGACAAAGUCAUCCCGAGUGCCACCCGCUGAGGGUGGCUUUUCCACAGUCUAAAAAGCUGUGGGAAUAAGGGGAGGGUAAGUCGGGUGUCAGCCGCCGCGGUAAUACCAGCUCUCCGAGUGGUAGGGAUGAUUAUUGGGCUUAAAGCGUCCGUAGCCGGCUCAGCAAGUCUCCCGUUAAAUCCAACGAUUCAAUCGUUGGACUGCGGGAGAUACUGUUCGGCUAGGGGGCGGGAGAGGCCGACGGUAUCCUCGGGGUAGGGGUGAAAUCCUAUAAUCCCGGGAAGACCACCAGUGGCGAAGGCUGUCGGCUAGAACGCGCCCGACGGUGAGGGAUGAAAGCUGGGGGAGCGAACCGGAUUAGAUACCCGCGUAGUCC